Molecule: ribosomal RNA, 1533 nt
Filed under: Escherichia coli
Lineage: Bacteria; Pseudomonadati; Pseudomonadota; Gammaproteobacteria; Enterobacterales; Enterobacteriaceae
Description: partial 23S ribosomal RNA
Rfam family: Bacterial large subunit ribosomal RNA
Source: RNAcentral
GGGUUGUGAGGUUAAGCGACUAAGCGUACACGGUGGAUGCCCUGGCAGUCAGAGGCGAUGAAGGACGUGCUAAUCUGCGAUAAGCGUCGGUAAGGUGAUAUGAACCGUUAUAACCGGCGAUUUCCGAAUGGGGAAACCCAGUGUGUUUCGACACACUAUCAUUAACUGAAUCCAUAGGUUAAUGAGGCGAACCGGGGGAACUGAAACAUCUAAGUACCCCGAGGAAAAGAAAUCAACCGAGAUUCCCCCAGUAGCGGCGAGCGAACGGGGAGCAGCCCAGAGCCUGAAUCAGUAUGUGUGUUAGUGGAAGCGUCUGGAAAGGCGCGCGAUACAGGGUGACAGCCCCGUACACAAAAAUGCACAUGCUGUGAGCUCGAUGAGUAGGGCGGGACACGUGGUAUCCUGUCUGAAUAUGGGGGGACCAUCCUCCAAGGCUAAAUACUCCUGACUGACCGAUAGUGAACCAGUACCGUGAGGGAAAGGCGAAAAGAACCCCGGCGAGGGGAGUGAAAAAGAACCUGAAACCGUGUACGUACAAGCAGUGGGAGCACGCUUAGGCGUGUGACUGCGUACCUUUUGUAUAAUGGGUCAGCGACUUAUAUUCUGUAGCAAGGUUAACCGAAUAGGGGAGCCGAAGGGAAACCGAGUCUUAACUGGGCGUUAAGUUGCAGGGUAUAGACCCGAAACCCGGUGAUCUAGCCAUGGGCAGGUUGAAGGUUGGGUAACACUAACUGGAGGACCGAACCGACUAAUGUUGAAAAAUUAGCGGAUGACUUGUGGCUGGGGGUGAAAGGCCAAUCAAACCGGGAGAUAGCUGGUUCUCCCCGAAAGCUAUUUAGGUAGCGCCUCGUGAAUUCAUCUCCGGGGGUAGAGCACUGUUUCGGCAAGGGGGUCAUCCCGACUUACCAACCCGAUGCAAACUGCGAAUACCGGAGAAUGUUAUCACGGGAGACACACGGCGGGUGCUAACGUCCGUCGUGAAGAGGGAAACAACCCAGACCGCCAGCUAAGGUCCCAAAGUCAUGGUUAAGUGGGAAACGAUGUGGGAAGGCCCAGACAGCCAGGAUGUUGGCUUAGAAGCAGCCAUCAUUUAAAGAAAGCGUAAUAGCUCACUGGUCGAGUCGGCCUGCGCGGAAGAUGUAACGGGGCUAAACCAUGCACCGAAGCUGCGGCAGCGACGCUGAUGCGUUGUUGGGUAGGGGAGCGUUCUGUAAGCCUGCGAAGGUGUGCUGUGAGGCAUGCUGGAGGUAUCAGAAGUGCGAAUGCUGACAUAAGUAACGAUAAAGCGGGUGAAAAGCCCGCUCGCCGGAAGACCAAGGGUUCCUGUCCAACGUUAAUCGGGGCAGGGUGAGUCGACCCCUAAGGCGAGGCCGAAAGGCGUAGUCGAUGGGAAACAGGUUAAUAUUCCUGUACUUGGUGUUACUGCGAAGGGGGGACGGAGAAGGCUAUGUUGGCCGGGCGACGGUUGUCCCGGUUUAAGCGUGUAGGCUGGUUUUCCAGGCAAAUCCGGAAAAUCAAGGCUGAGGCGUGAUG